Molecule: ribosomal RNA, 224 nt
Filed under: uncultured bacterium
Lineage: Bacteria
Description: partial 16S ribosomal RNA
Rfam family: Bacterial small subunit ribosomal RNA
Source: RNAcentral
GAUCAUGGCUCAGGAUGAACGCUAGCUACAGGCUUAACACAUGCAAGUCGAGGGGCAGCAUGGUCUUAGCUUGCUAAGGCCGAUGGCGACCGGCGCACGGGUGAAUAACACGUAUCCAACCUGCUGUCUACUCUUGGACAGCCUUCUGAAAGGAAGAUUAAUACAAGAUGGCAUCAUGAGUCCGCAUGUUCACAUGAUUAAAGGUAUUCCGGUAGACGAUGGGG